Molecule: long non-coding RNA, 853 nt
Organism: Austrofundulus limnaeus
Lineage: Eukaryota; Metazoa; Chordata; Actinopteri; Cyprinodontiformes; Rivulidae
Exons: 4
Source: RefSeq, a predicted model, not a curated record
UUCGGUUUAAAUGACGUUUCCGCCGGCUAAUAACAAGCUGCAGCGUCUGUCCAGCAGCCAAUCAGAAGGGAGGGGGGCGGGAACAGUCUGCGCACGUCACGUGGAAAAGAACCAGGGCUGUCCAGGCAGCCUUUCUGUUUUCAUUGGCACGAGGAGGCAGAUUCUUGCCGGUUCCACAAAGGUAAAUAGAGGCUUGACUCGUCGGGACACAUGCAGCUUCGCCGACAACAGUUUUACAGAUGUUAAAGCCAAUGCCUGCGAACGGAGAAGACCCCCAGCUGCAGUUCUCUUGUACGCCUCCUCCUGCAGAGAAGGUUACCUGGAUAUACAGGAUUAAGAUCAUUCACUGUCCCUACGAGGAAACCGCUGAUUCAGCAGGUUGAGACCUUACCUUUUAGCACGAGGGUCGAUGAUGGUGUGGUGAUGUCGUGCUUUAACAUUCAACAUGCUAACUGAGGCACCGAGGUCUGCAAAGUCUAAUCUGAGGUGAAGUUGCUGAGAUUUUUAUCCCUGCUUUUACGUAAUAGAAUGAAGUUCUCCAAAUUGUUUGGAAAUGACCUUCCAGUCAUCACCAGACGCAGGUGGCCAAUUUAGCUUCUGUAAGAUUGGUGUUGAUGCCGCUUUUCUGGCAUUGCAUAACUGGUCCAGACCGGAAAAGUGCUAACACUUCAGCUGUAAUGAAAGCUCUUAGACCUGCUGUUGAUUAUUUAAUCAAAUAUUAAAUCAUGUUAUGAGAACUCAAGGAAUAUUGAGUAUCUUGUGAAGUUACACUUUUGCAUAGCUUUAACAUAUAAAGAAAUAUUUUAAUUUUCAACACAUCAGCAUCAGAUUUUUAGCAGUAGCAGGACUUUAA